AGUGAACGCUGGCGGUAGGCCUAACACAUGCAAGUCGAACGGCAGCACAGUAAGAGCUUGCUCUUACCGGUGGCGAGUGGCGGACGGGUGAGGAAUAUAUCGGAAUCUACUUUUUCGUGGGGGAUAACGUAGGGAAACUUACGCUAAUACCGCAUAUGACCUACGGGUGAAAGCAGUGGAUCUUCGGACCUUGCGCGAUUGAAUGAGCCGAUGUCGGAUUAGCUAGUUGGCGGGGUAAAGGCCCACCAAGGCGACGAUCCGUAGCUGGUCUGAGAGGAUGAUCAGCCACACUGGAAGUGAGACACGGUCCAGACUCCUACGGGAGGCAGCAGUGGGGAAUAUUGGACAAUGGGCGCAAGCCUGAUCCAGCCAUACCGCGUGGGUGAAGAAGGCCUUCGGGUUGUAAAGCCCUUUUGUUGGGAAAGAAAAGCAGCAGGUUAAUACCCCGCUGUUCUGACGGUACCCAAAGAAUAAGCACCGGCUAACUUCGUG
This 492-nucleotide ribosomal RNA is filed under the name uncultured bacterium. RNAcentral describes it as "partial 16S ribosomal RNA". It matches the Rfam family "Bacterial small subunit ribosomal RNA", at positions 29 to 507 of the family's 1533-position model. The record is from RNAcentral.